This 122-nucleotide ribosomal RNA is filed under the name Bipolaris sivanesaniana. RNAcentral's name for it is "partial 28S ribosomal RNA". It matches the Rfam family "Eukaryotic large subunit ribosomal RNA", at positions 1 to 121 of the family's 3401-position model. Lineage: Eukaryota; Fungi; Ascomycota; Dothideomycetes; Pleosporales; Pleosporaceae. The record is from RNAcentral.
UUGACCUCGGAUCAGGUAGGGAUACCCGCUGAACUUAAGCAUAUCAAUAAGCGGAGGAAAAGAAACCAACAGGGAUUGCCCUAGUAACGGCGAGUGAAGCGGCAACAGCUCAAAUUUGAAAU